GACGAACGCUGGCGGCGUGCUUAACACAUGCAAGUCGAACGGAAAGGCCCUGCUUUUGUGUGGUGCUCGAGUGGCGAACGGGUGAGUAACACGUGAGUAACCUGCCCUUGACUGUGGGAUAACUUCAGGAAACUGGGGCUAAUACCGGAUAGGAGCUCCUGCUGCAUGGUGGGGGUUGGAAAGUUUCGGCGGUUGGGGAUGGACUCGCGGCUUAUCAGCUUGUUGGUGGGGUAGUGGCUUACCAAGGCUUUGACGGGUAGCCGGCCUGAGAGGGUUACCGGCCACCUUGGGACUAAGAUACGGCCCAGACUGCUACGGGAGGCAGCAGUGGGGAAUAUUGCACAACGGGCGGACGCCUGAUGCAGCAGCGCCGCGUGCGGAAUGCCGGCCUUCGAGUUGUGAACCGAUUUCGACUGUACCGAAGCGUGAGUGACGGUACUGAGUCAAGAAGCCCCGGCUAACUACGUG
This 468-nucleotide ribosomal RNA is filed under the name uncultured bacterium. RNAcentral describes it as "partial 16S ribosomal RNA". It matches the Rfam family "Bacterial small subunit ribosomal RNA", at positions 28 to 507 of the family's 1533-position model. The record is from RNAcentral.